This 205-nucleotide unclassified non-coding RNA is filed under the name Hevea brasiliensis (rubber tree). The record is from RNAcentral. Lineage: Eukaryota; Viridiplantae; Streptophyta; Magnoliopsida; Malpighiales; Euphorbiaceae.
UGGUAGGCAUUUUCAUGUGAAAUAAUUCCCUAUUCGGUGACCAAUGGGUAUUCUGAUUAAUUACUGUCGUCAUGUUUUUAGGAGGCAAAACUUUAAUGAAUGGUUACUCUAGCACAGCAGAAAUAAAUCCUAACCAACAUUUUGCAAUGAGGGUUGCAUUUGUCCAUCCCCUUUUUUUGUCCACCCCCUUUUUAUACUAUUAAAA